CGUACUCCCCAGGCGGAGUGCUUAAUGCGUUAGCUGCAGCACAUAAGGGGCGGAAACCCCCUAACACUUAGCACUCAUCGUUUACGGCGUGGACUACCAGGGUAUCUAAUCCUGUUUGAUCCCCACGCUUUCGCACAUCAGCGUCAGUUACAGACCAGAAAGUCGCCUUCGCCACUGGUGUUCCUCCAUAUCUCUGCGCAUUUCACCGCUACACAUGGAAUUCCACUUUCCUCUUCUGCACUCAAGUUUUCCAGUUUCCAAUGACCCUCCACGGUUGAGCCGUGGGCUUUCACAUCAGACUUAAAAAACCGCCUACGCGCGCUUUACGCCCAAUAAUUCCGGAUAACGCUUGCCACCUACGUAUUACCGCGGCUGCUGGCACGUAGUUAGCCGUGGCUUUCUGAUUAGGUACCGUCAAGAUGCGCACAGUUACUUACACAUAUGUUCUUCCCUAAUAACAGAGGUUUACGAUCCGAAGACCUUCAUCACUCACGCGGCGUUGCUCCGUCAGGCUUUCGCCCAUUGCGGAAGAUUCCCUACUGCUGCCUCCCGUAGGAGUCUGGACCGUGUCUCA
This 574-nucleotide ribosomal RNA is filed under the name uncultured Staphylococcus sp. RNAcentral's name for it is "partial 16S ribosomal RNA". The record is from RNAcentral. Lineage: Bacteria; Bacillati; Bacillota; Bacilli; Caryophanales; Staphylococcaceae.